AUUGAACGCUGGCGGCAGGCCUAACACAUGCAAGUCGAACGAGUGGCGGACGGGUGAGUAAUGUCUGGGAAACUGCCCGAUGGAGGGGGAUAACGAAGGGAAACGGUAGCUAAUACCGCAUACCAUCGGAUGUGCCCAGAUGGGAUUAGCUAGUAGGUGGGGUAACGGCUCACCAAGGCGACGAUCCCUAGCUGGUCUGAGAGGAUGACCAGCCACACUGGAACUGAGACACGGUCCAGACUCCGACGGGAGGCAGCAGUAGGGAAUAUUGCGCAAUGGGCGCAAGCCUGAUGGAGCCAUGCCGCGUGUAUGAAGAAGGCCUUCGGGUUGUAAAGUACUUUUGGCGAGGAGGCGUUACUCGAAGAAGAAGCACCGGCUAACUCCGUGCCAGCAGCCGCGGUAAUAC
This 406-nucleotide ribosomal RNA is filed under the name uncultured bacterium. RNAcentral's name for it is "partial 16S ribosomal RNA". It matches the Rfam family "Bacterial small subunit ribosomal RNA", at positions 29 to 526 of the family's 1533-position model. The record is from RNAcentral.